Molecule: ribosomal RNA, 499 nt
Filed under: Dolichospermum crassum 1ES33S1
Lineage: Bacteria; Bacillati; Cyanobacteriota; Cyanophyceae; Nostocales; Aphanizomenonaceae
Description: bacterial SSU rRNA
Rfam family: Bacterial small subunit ribosomal RNA
Source: RNAcentral
GGUGAAAGGCUUGCUGCCUGAAGAAGAGCUUGCGUCUGAUUAGCUAGUUGGUGGGGUAAGAGCCUACCAAGGCGACGAUCAGUAGCUGGUCUGAGAGGAUGAUCAGCCACACUGGGACUGAGACACGGCCCAGACUCCUACGGGAGGCAGCAGUGGGGAAUUUUCCGCAAUGGGCGAAAGCCUGACGGAGCAAUACCGCGUGAGGGAGGAAGGCUCUUGGGUUGUAAACCUCUUUUCUCAGGGAAGAAAAAAAUGACGGUACCUGAGGAAUAAGCAUCGGCUAACUCCGUGCCAGCAGCCGCGGUAAUACGGAGGAUGCAAGCGUUAUCCGGAAUGAUUGGGCGUAAAGGGUCCGCAGGUGGCAUUGUAUGUCUGCUGUUAAAGAGUCUGGCUCAACCAGAUCAAAGCAGUGGAAACUACAAAGCUAGAGUAUGGUCGGGGCAGAGGGAAUUCCUGGUGUAGCGGUGAAAUGCGUAGAUAUCAGGAAGAACACCGGUGG